This 464-nucleotide ribosomal RNA is filed under the name uncultured bacterium. RNAcentral's name for it is "bacterial SSU rRNA". It matches the Rfam family "Bacterial small subunit ribosomal RNA", at positions 331 to 792 of the family's 1533-position model. The record is from RNAcentral.
CCAGACUCCUACGGGAGGCAGCAGUGAGGAAUAUUGGUCAAUGGCCGGAAGGCUGAACCAGCCAUGCCGCGUGAAGGUCAGUGCCCUAUGGGCGUUAAACUUCUUUUGUGCGGGAGCAAUAAUGGUCACGUGUGGCCAGACGAGAGUACCGUACGAAUAAGCAUCGGCUAACUCCGUGCCAGCAGCCGCGGUAAUACGGGGGAUGCAAGCGUUAUCCGGAUUUAUUGGGUUUAAAGGGUGCGUAGGCUGUGAGGUAAGUCAGCGGUGAAAUGCCCCCGCUCAACGGGGUGAAGUGCCAUUGAUACUGCCUUGCUGGAAUGCGGAUGCCGUGGGAGGAAUGUGUGGUGUAGCGGUGAAAUGCAUAGAUAUCACACAGAACACCGAUUGCGAAGGCAUCUCACGAAUCCGCGAUUGACGCUGAUGCACGAAAGCGUGGGUAUCAAACAGGAUUAGAUACCCGAGUA